Molecule: long non-coding RNA, 495 nt
Organism: Armigeres subalbatus
Lineage: Eukaryota; Metazoa; Arthropoda; Insecta; Diptera; Culicidae
Exons: 2
Source: RefSeq, a predicted model, not a curated record
UCGAUUCCAAAUGGUGUGAAUUUGUGAGUCAAAGAUUGAUCAGGUUAAAUCAUGAUUGGCUUAGUUAGCAUCUACUCUGCAUAGUUAAUUAAAUGUGAAAAUAAAAAAAGAACAUCGGCUAAGUGCCACAGAGCUCAGUAACAAAAGGGAAAUCACAAACAAACUGUUUGCAUGUUUCCCGUUCUCGAUGUGUGUGGAGCUGGAAAUGAAAUUUCGUGUUAAAUAAAUCAUAAACAGUUGGAUUAUUAACCACAUCAAGUGUAUAAAUUAGCCGGGCACGCAAGCACCUCGGAAAUACUCAAGGAUGCCAUCCCUUGGUCAAUUCGCUCACAGUUUGCAAGCGGACAGGAUGCAGCCCAACGAUAACGAACGAAAAUCGAAACAUGUGUAAAACGAUCGAGAACAAUGAUAGUAGCUUUUAACUUCCUCAAACACUUGGCUACUGAAGGAAACGAUCCAAUUCAAUUUCAAUAAAAUCAAUUUACUGCACCCAGA